Molecule: ribosomal RNA, 253 nt
Filed under: uncultured bacterium
Lineage: Bacteria
Description: partial 16S ribosomal RNA
Rfam family: Bacterial small subunit ribosomal RNA
Source: RNAcentral
UACGUAGGGUGCAAGCGUUAAUCGGAAUUACUGGGCGUAAAGCGUGCGCAGGCGGUUUUGUAAGUCUGUCGUGAAAUCCCCGGGCUUAACCUGGGAAUUGCGUUGGAGACUGCAAGGCUUGAAUCUGGCAGAGGGGGGUAGAAUUCCACGUGUAGCAGUGAAAUGCGUAGAGAUGUGGAGGAACACCGAUGGCGAAGGCAGCCCCCUGGGUCAAGAUUGACGCUCAUGCACGAAAGCGUGGGGAGCAAACAGG